GCCUGAGUGAUGAAAUAGGUAGACAUGACGGAUUCAAAAUCCGUUGCCCUUAAAGGCGUGUCGGUUCGAGUCCGACCUCAGGCACCA
This 87-nucleotide transfer RNA is filed under the name Pasteurellaceae bacterium LIM206. RNAcentral describes it as "tRNA-Leu". It matches the Rfam family "tRNA". From Rfam's summary of the family: Transfer RNA (tRNA) molecules are approximately 80 nucleotides in length. The record is from RNAcentral. Lineage: Bacteria; Pseudomonadati; Pseudomonadota; Gammaproteobacteria; Pasteurellales; Pasteurellaceae.